GGAAAUUUAUCAGUGAGACUGAAGAAUCCUCCAAAACCAUCAUUCCACUCUUCAUUGGUCUUAACUCCCUUCCUCUAGAGCUAUCUAGUUAUAAAAUACCAGCAGAGAUGAAGCCAGUUUCUCUGCCUGCAUCAAAUCGAUUAUGUCUGAAAAGAAAGCAGGGCAAAUGUUGUAUCAGCAAAGAGGAUGACAUGAUGGAGGGUAGCCCACACCCAACAAGAGAAAAAGGAAGCUCACCCAGCUAGCUCUGGAAGACCCAGGCAUUUCAUAGUAUCUAGCAGGUGAGGAGGCUCUGGAGGAAUGCUGGAUCUAUAAUAAGAGAAAUGAAGAGCUGCUGCAGGACGCCUGAAACAUCCAGAAUGGUGGGGACCAGCCAGCUGGAAUAGCACAAAGGCAGUGGCCACAGAUGCAUCACUGACAUGAACUACAUUGAGCAGAAGGGGAGUGUGGGAACGAAGGGUCAGGUCACCACCUCAGUCAAUGUCCUAUCUACAUGCAGGAAGGAAGGGCAGUUGGAAGGUAGGAAUGGAAAAAGGCUUAAAGGUCCUGCCUCAUCUUUACCCUCACUCCAGACAGAAAAGGAGUCACAUGUCCACUGCCUUCAGCUACUAAAUUUAGCUUCUAGAACUGAUCAAUGAUCUGCUUUUCUCUCAUCAUCCAAAAUCAAUAAUAA
Long non-coding RNA from Zalophus californianus (California sea lion), 673 nucleotides. RefSeq lists it as uncharacterized. The transcript is spliced from 3 exons. Lineage: Eukaryota; Metazoa; Chordata; Mammalia; Carnivora; Otariidae. The record is from RefSeq and is a predicted model, not a curated record.